Molecule: ribosomal RNA, 301 nt
Filed under: uncultured bacterium
Lineage: Bacteria
Description: partial 16S ribosomal RNA
Rfam family: Bacterial small subunit ribosomal RNA
Source: RNAcentral
CAGCCGCCGCGGGAAAACGGAGGGUGCAAGCGUUAUCCGGAUUUAUUGGGCGUAAAGCGUGCGUAGGCGGCUUCUUAAGUCGGAUGUGAAAUCCCUGAGCUUAACUUAGGAAUUGCAUUCGAUACUGGGAAGCUAGAGUAUGGGAGAGGAUGGUAGAAUUCCAGGUGUAGCGGUGAAAUGCGUAGAGAUCUGGAGGAAUACCGAUGGCGAAGGCAGCCAUCUGGCCUAAUACUGACGCUGAGGUACGAAAGCAUGGGGAGCAAACAGGAUUAGAUACCCCCGUAGUCCCUGUCUCUUAUAC